AAGGAUUUAAGUUAAAAAAACUCUUAACCUUCAAAGUUAAAAAUAUUAUAAUAAUAAGCCUUA
Molecule: transfer RNA, 63 nt
Filed under: Bambusicaliscelis fanjingensis
Lineage: Eukaryota; Metazoa; Arthropoda; Insecta; Hemiptera; Caliscelidae
Description: tRNA-Trp
Source: RNAcentral